UACGUAGGGUGCAAGCGUUGUCCGGAAUUAUUGGGCGUAAAGAGCUCGUAGGCGGUCUGUUGCGUCGGCUGUGAAAACCCGAGGCUCAACCUCGGGCCUGCAGCCGAUACGGGCAGACUAGAGUUCGGCAGGGGAGACUGGAAUUCCUGGUGUAGCGGUGAAAUGCGCAGAUAUCAGGAGGAACACCGGUGGCGAAGGCGGGUCUCUGGGCCGAUACUGACGCUGAGGCACGAAGGUCAGGGGAGCAAACGGG
This 253-nucleotide ribosomal RNA is filed under the name uncultured bacterium. RNAcentral's name for it is "partial 16S ribosomal RNA". It matches the Rfam family "Bacterial small subunit ribosomal RNA", at positions 524 to 776 of the family's 1533-position model. The record is from RNAcentral.